RNAcentral lists this transfer RNA (71 nucleotides) under Loxodonta africana (African savanna elephant). It matches the Rfam family "tRNA". From Rfam's summary of the family: Transfer RNA (tRNA) molecules are approximately 80 nucleotides in length. Their secondary structure includes four short double-helical elements and three loops (D, anti-codon, and T loops). Lineage: Eukaryota; Metazoa; Chordata; Mammalia; Proboscidea; Elephantidae. The record is from Rfam by way of RNAcentral.
GCAGUGGUGGUUCACUGCUAGGAUUCUCGCCUUCUAUGCCGGAGACCCAGGUUCGAUUCCCGGCCGAUGUA